GAUGAACGCUGGCGGUGUGCCUAAUACAUGCAAGUCGAGCGAACAGACGAGGAGCUUGCUCCUCUGACGUUAGCGGCGGACGGGUGAGUACCACGUGGAUAACAUAACUAUAAGACUGGGAUAACUUCGGGAAACCGGAGCUAAUACCGGAUAAUAUAUUGAACAGCAUGAUUCAAUAGUGAAUGACGGUUUUGGUGUCGCAUAUAGAUGGAUCCGCGCCGCAUUAGCUAGUUGGUAAGGUAACGGCAUACCAAGGCAACGAUGCGUAGCCGACCUGAGAGGGAUAUCGGCCACACUGGAACGGAGGCACGGUCCAGACGCCUACGGGAGGCAGCAGUAGCGAAUCUGCCGCGAUGCGCGAAAGCCUGACGGGGCAACGGCGCGUGAGUGAUGAAGGUCUUCGGAUCGUAAAACGCUGUUAUUAGGGAAGAACAAAUGUGUAAGUAACGAUGCACGUCUUGACGGUACCUAAGCAGAAAGCCACGGCUAACUACGUG
RNAcentral lists this ribosomal RNA (497 nucleotides) under uncultured bacterium. RNAcentral's name for it is "partial 16S ribosomal RNA". It matches the Rfam family "Bacterial small subunit ribosomal RNA", at positions 28 to 507 of the family's 1533-position model. The record is from RNAcentral.